Molecule: ribosomal RNA, 440 nt
Filed under: uncultured bacterium
Lineage: Bacteria
Description: partial 16S ribosomal RNA
Rfam family: Bacterial small subunit ribosomal RNA
Source: RNAcentral
CCUACGUGUGGCAGCAGUGGGGGAUAUUGCACAAUGGGGGGAACCCUGAUGCAGCGACGCCGCGUGAUCGAUGGAGUACUUCGGUAUGUAAAGCUCUGUCAGCAGGGAAGAAAAUGACGGUACUUGCCCAAGAAGCCCCGGCUACAUACGUGCCAGCAGCCGCGGUAAUACGUCUGGGGCAAGCGUUAUUCGGAUUUCCUGGGGGUAAAGGGAGCGUAGGCGGCAGGGCAAGCCUGAGAUGAAAGCCCGGGGUUCAACCCCAGGACUGCAUUGGGAACUGGCCUGCUGGAGAGUCGGAGGGGCAGGCAGAAUGCCUAGUGUAGCGGUGAAAUGCAUAGAUAUUAGAAGGAAAACCGGUGGCGAAGGAGGCCUACUGGACGGUGACUGACGCUGAGGCUCGAAAGCGUGGGGAGCAAACAGGAGUAGAUACACUAGUAGUG